GGACGAACGCUGGCGGCGUGCUUAACACAUGCAAGUCGAACGCUGAAGCCUGGCUUUUGUUGGGUGGAUGAGUGGCGAACGGGUGAGUAACACGUGAGUAACCUGCCCCCUUCUUUGGGAUAACGCCCGGAAACGGGUGCUAAUACUGGAUAUUCACUGGCCUUCGCAUGGGGGUUGGUGGAAAGGGUUUUCUGGUGGGGGAUGGGCUCGCGGCCUAUCAGCUUGUUGGUGGGGUGAUGGCCUACCAAGGCUUUGACGGGUAGCCGGCCUGAGAGGGUGACCGGUCACAUUGGGACUGAGAUACGGCCCAGACUCCUACGGGAGGCAGCAGUGGGGAAUAUUGCACAAUGGGCGCAAGCCUGAUGCAGCGACGCCGCGUGAGGGAUGGAGGCCUUCGGGUUGUGAACCUCUUUCGCUCAUGGUCAAGCCGCAACUGUGGGUUGUGGUGAGGGUAGUGGGUAAAGAAGCGCCGGCUAACUACGU
This 483-nucleotide ribosomal RNA is filed under the name Actinomyces sp. 'ARUP UnID 47'. Its description in RNAcentral is "bacterial SSU rRNA". It matches the Rfam family "Bacterial small subunit ribosomal RNA", at positions 27 to 506 of the family's 1533-position model. The record is from RNAcentral. Lineage: Bacteria; Bacillati; Actinomycetota; Actinomycetes; Actinomycetales; Actinomycetaceae.